Molecule: long non-coding RNA, 1976 nt
Filed under: Manihot esculenta (cassava)
Lineage: Eukaryota; Viridiplantae; Streptophyta; Magnoliopsida; Malpighiales; Euphorbiaceae
Description: long non-coding RNA (MESC_LNC008486)
Source: RNAcentral
UCUCUUCCAUUGUCAGUUUUCAAAAUUUUCACCUUAGUAUCAAAUUGAGUACAAACCAUCUUAUGAAAGGAUUGAAAACAAGAAAAGACAUCACUUUUAGCUUUAAUCAAAUAGACCCAAGUCAUUCGAGUGCAACAAUCAAUAAAGGUGACAAACCAUCGAUUACCAGAUAAGGAGACCGUUUGAGUAGGCCCCCAAACAUCAGAAUGAAUAGUUGCAAAAGGAAUUUGACUUUUAUUAUGACUCAAAGGAUAGGAUGUUCUAGUGUGUUUAGCAUACUCACAAGCAUCACAAAAUAAAGAGUCAAACUGGGUUUUAGCAAACAAAUCAGGAUAUAGUUUUUCUAAGACAAAAAAUGAUGGAUGCCCUAACCGCCGGUGCCACUGUAUUAUUUCCCGAUUGACAUCCUUAUUUUCUCCAAAACAGGCUUGAGAUAUCGAAGAAGUCGGAUCACCCUCUAACAUGUAUAAGCCAUCAUGCAGCCUACCAUUGCCAAUCAUCUUCCCUGUGCGAAGAUCCUGAAUAACACAAUGAUCAGGAAAGAAUUCAAUUUUACAGUUAAGAGCAUUGGUGAUAGCACUGACAGAUAAAAGGUUGACAGGAAAGUGGGGAACAUGAAGGACAGAUGAUAAUUUAAUGUUGGAUGUGCAAAUAACAGAACCUGUUCCGGAUAUGGGAGUAAAAGAGCCAUCAGCAAUUCUGACACUAUCUUUGGUUAGAGAAGGAGAAUAAUUGAGAAAGCCUUUAUAAGAGCCUGUCAUAUGUCUAUUCGCACCAGAAUCGAUAAUCCAUGGAACAUUAUUAAAAGAGGAAGCAUUACCUGACUUUACAAAGUUAGAUGUGGCACCAGAGGAUGAAGAGGUGUCAAUAUGAGACAAGAGGCGCUUGAGACUCUGAAGUUCAUUAGGGGAAAGAAACUCAGUCGUUGUUGUAUCCUUAAAGGGCUCCUCCACAGUUUCUGCUAACUUAGCUUGAUUUCUAGAGGUACCUCGUUUUCCUCCACGACCUCUAGUGUGACGACCAUGUAACUUCCAACAAGUCUCUUUGGUAUGCAUCGGUUUCCCACAAUAGUCAUAGUGUAAGUGAUCUUUCUCAGAAGUAGGAGGUUGUGGUGUGCUCAAACUAGUAGUCAACCCAGCCUUUUCAACUGGUGCAGUAUGGAGCAUAGCAUGUUGACGACUUUCCUCUUGUUGAACAUGGGCAUGGGCCUCUUCUAGAGAAGGAAAAGGAUUUCUUCCCAACACUUGGACCCGAAUUGGAUCAUAUUCGUUAUUCAACCCUGCAAGAAAAUCAUAGACCCGCUCCUUUUCAAUCAUUCUUCGAAAUUUGACUGCAUCUCCGGUGCAGUCUGCCUGGAAGUCUUGAAAGUAAUCAAGCUCCUGCCAUAAGCCACAUAACUCAGAAUAAAAUUGAGAGAUAGUCAUUUCUCCUUGCUUAGUACCAUGGAUCUUAUUCCGAAUAUCAUAAAUUUGAGCAUCAUUCCCAAUCUUGGAAUAAGUUAAGGACAAAGCUUUCCAUAUUUUUGCAGCAGUAUCAAUUAACAAAUAGGACUUAGAGAUAUGAGGUUGCAUAGAGUUCAGUAACCAUGUCAUAACAAGACAAUUAUCCGAGUCCCAUUGAGGGAAACCUGGAUCACUCUCAUCAGGUUGCUUUUUAUUACCAGUGACAUAACUUUGCAGUCCUCUAGCCUUGAUAAACAACAAACAAGACCUUGACCAAGCAAGAUAAUUGGUUCCAUCAAGUUUUAUGGGACUAAUUUGCAAGGAAGGAUUGUCAGAGUUAGGAAUCGAGACCCUUUUACCUUCUGCCAUAGUAAAGAUUUAUGAACAGUGAAGGAUAGGAGGUACCCAAGGUUGUACACACAAGAAAGCCCAAUUGAUUCACCAAAAGACCGGGUAACAGCACGGGAGGGCCGAAAAGAUGGUCGGAAUCGACGCCGGAGUGAUCAGAGCGGCGAAACAGUGACAGACGAUGGG